RNAcentral lists this unclassified non-coding RNA (179 nucleotides) under rhizosphere metagenome. Its description in RNAcentral is "partial ribosomal RNA internal transcribed spacer region". The record is from RNAcentral.
GAGUUCAUGCCCUCACGGGUAGAUCUCCACCCUUGAAUACAUACUAUGUUGCUUUGGCGGGCCGCCUAGGCUACCGGCUCCGGCUGGUAUGUGCCCGCCAGAGGACCCAAACUCUGUUUACAGUGUCGUCUGAGUACUAUAUAAUAGUUAAAACUUUCAACAACGGAUCUCUUGGUUCU